Molecule: long non-coding RNA, 1030 nt
Organism: Saccostrea cuccullata (small rock oyster)
Lineage: Eukaryota; Metazoa; Mollusca; Bivalvia; Ostreida; Ostreidae
Exons: 5
Source: RefSeq, a predicted model, not a curated record
CUGUCGACUAAUACUGUAGUACAAUUACAUUGGGAUCGAAGUCGGGCUCGAAAAGCAAUUAAUUUAAACAACACGCCGCGCCGAAAUUCAAUUUUUUGGGGGUUCCACGCAGCCAUGUUGAACUUGAUCAUGAUGUUGUACAGAGGGAAAGUGCGAAAGAGAGUGUCGCGAAAAGGAGAAGCAUGAUUAGCUUUGGAUGGAAUUUCUGUUUUGACAGAAGAUGAAGACAUUUUACGACCCUGUACUGCGGUAGGAACAAUGUACAAAAUUUUAUCAUGUGUCCUUGAAUGAAUAAUUACUUCUGCUACUGACAAUGUUACUGUUCCUUAGUCUGGGCACUACACAUAAAAUGCCUGACCGUAAAAACGUUUGGGCAAGCGCUAUUUAAAUUUUGCAAUAAUUAUUUAACACUUUUAAACAUCUCUCAUAAAGAUGGAUUUUAACCAGAAUUUCCUCGUUUGGGAUUGGUUCAGGAAUUUUAGUGUUCCUCUGUUCAGCAUUUACAAAGUAUGUUGUACAAUGUAAAAAAAAAAAAUAUUUACUUUUUAAUGCAUGUUCAAGAUGAUAUUCAGCACUUAUUUUGAUCAUUUAAUAGUUGCAGUGGACUGUGCCUGAGACGAUUCCCCACAGCGCCUGCGUAUAUAGUCAGCUUGUGAAAAUGGAAUCCGAAUACUCACAAGAAGGACAAAACCAGUAUGAAAAUUAACACAAAGAAAUUGUGCCAGAAAUGUUUGAAGUAUCUAUGGGAAUGAUCUGACAACAUCGAACUUGCUGAGCCUUCCUUCUUAAAGUGACAUGACCUGAUAUUUGGCUACCCAGUUUGAGAUACGAACUAAUCAUUUGUUGUACGACUUAUUGUGUAUGAGAUUGCCACCAUUUACUGGAACUUUGAAUUUCCUGUCCACUUUAAACCCCAGCUAUCUACAGUUAUCUUUCUGCUAAAUGAAAUAAAAGAUUGUGGAGGAACACGGAGAAAAGGGCACCUCAACAUGUUCAAGGUCAAGCAGCUUUUUACCAUAUCCAUAGUAUC